AUUGAACGCUGGCGGCAGGCCUAACACAUGCAAGUCGAGCGAGCGGCGGACGGGUGAGUGAUGUCUGGGAAACUGCCUGAUGGAGGGGGAUAACUACUGGAAUCGGUAGCUAAUACCGCAUCCCACCAGAUGUGCCCAGUUGGGAUUAGCUAGGAGGUGGGGUAACGGCUCACCUAGGCGACGCUCCCUAGCUGGUCUGAGAGGAUGACCAGCCACACGGGAACGGAGACACGGCCCGGACGCCUACGGGAGGCAGCAGAGGGGAAUAUUGCACAAGGGGCGCAAGCCUGAUGCAGCCCUGCCGCGUGGGGGAAGAAGGCCUUCGGGUUGUAAAGCACUGUCAGCGGGGAGGCGGUACCCGCAGAAGAAGCACCGGCUAACUCCGUGCCAGCAGCCGCGGUAAUUC
This 406-nucleotide ribosomal RNA is filed under the name uncultured bacterium. Its description in RNAcentral is "partial 16S ribosomal RNA". It matches the Rfam family "Bacterial small subunit ribosomal RNA", at positions 29 to 526 of the family's 1533-position model. The record is from RNAcentral.